GCAAUUCUUGUGCCUCAGCCUCCCAGGGAACUGGGACUACAGGUGACUUUACAAUCUCUAGACCCAGACAUUUCUCUCUGAAGUGGAGUGAAGGAAGGAGAACCAGAAGCUAAAGGCAAUGAAAAGAGGAAAAGUUGACACUUUGAGAAGUUAUGACGAACUUGUCGAGAAUGCCAAUUGACAAAGGCAGGUAAGGGAGUACUUGGAAAAACAGCAAGAAUAGGUCUGAAGGGCACGGUGAGCUGCUUUCCUAGGGUGUAAAGGGAAUUGGCAGCCGUGUUUAUUGACUCUUCCAAUUAAUUUUAAAGAAACCUGAAGAAAUGGACAAAGACAGAGAAAAGGCAACCAGAUGUGAUUCCGCCCUUCCAGAAGCAAAGAGGCUUAUUUCAUCCCAUAUGAUCGAUGCCAGUCAUGGGGAGGAGUGGCUGUGUGGAAAUUAAUGGAUUUUCAACAUCCAAUCACAGAGGACACACAUGUAUAUUUAGCAAGUCUAAAACCUCUUAAAUAAACUGCAUUGCUUUUCAUUUUCACUUUCCAGUUAUAAAACCAGUGGAUGAUGAAAAGGCCAUGUGACAAUACAGCAUGUACUCUCAGGAAUGUUUGUGUGACGGGGAUAUUAUAUCUGAAGGGACAGGGCAACUGGGAGGGUGAACUGCUCAUAACUCUCAAUUGUCCAGGUAAUGAAGCAUUGGGAAAGCAAAGGCAAAUGAAAUAACCUGAUCAUCAAAAAAUGAUUCCUCUUUUAGUGCUCUUAUUAGUUGACUGAUGAUGACAAGUGUGAAAUUGCCAGAGUUGUAUUUUACCAUUUCUGGCACUCAUCACGUGCUUUGGAUGAGCACAUGUGUGCAGAAAGUGGGAACCCGGGCAAUUUCUAUAGACCAGGCUGUUAACCUGCAAGCUGUAAAAUUUCACAGUGUGAAGGAUGACAGUCAAGGAUUGGUGAGGUUCCCUAGCAUUCUUGAGGACUCACAGGGAAUCAGAAGAAGAACUGAAGCUACACUGAAAGGGCUCUUGAACCCUCUAAAGCUGACUUUUUAGUCUUGAACUUGGGGUUGUAUGUUAAAUAUGUGAUACUCACUCAUGAUGCUACCACUUGGUCGUAUUUUAUUAGACUAAAGUGUGUUAAAGCCAGAAAGGGCUUUAUGAAUCAGCGAGCCUAGCCCACCCUAUUUGAACUGAUGCUGACAAAGGUAACGUGUUCGAGAUCACAUUCCUAGUAAGCAGCAAGACUGUGACUAGAACCCAAGUCUUGUACUUUCUUACCUCAUGUUCCUGUCACUUGUGUGCUGUGCCAGGAUCCUCCAAAGUUCGAAUAAUGAGGAUUUUUUUUUUUUUAAAUUUUGAGACGGAGUCUUGCUCUGUCGCCCAGGCUGGAGUGCAGUGGCGUG
This 1388-nucleotide long non-coding RNA is filed under the name Homo sapiens (human). RNAcentral describes it as "HSALNT0381616". The record is from RNAcentral. Lineage: Eukaryota; Metazoa; Chordata; Mammalia; Primates; Hominidae.